UGUGGUGUUCGGGAGGGUCCAUUAUCCCGAGGUUAUGCGACGCGUCCAAGUCCUUCUUGAACGGGGCCACAGCCCACAGAGGGUGCCAGGCCCGUAGUGACCGUCGCCGAUCGCGGGAGGAUCUCUCCUUAGAGUCGGGUUGCUUGAGAGUGCAGCCCUAAGUGGGUGGUAAACUCCAUCUAAGGCUAAAUAUGACCACGAGACCGAUAGCGAACAAGUACCGUGAGGGAAAGUUGAAAAGCACUUUGAAGAGAGAGUUCAAGAGUACGUGAAACCGUUUAGGGGUAAACCUGAGAAACCCGAAAGGUCGAAGGGAGAAAUUCAUUCGCGUUUCGCCGCAGGCGUUGUGCGGGAUCGUGUGACGGGGAAGGAGGUAGAGCGUUCGCGCACGCCCCUUUUCCGCGCCUUCCGUUCUUUACGAACCGGUGGCGAACGCGUGCACUUUUCUCCUGGUAGGACGUCGCGAUCCGUUGAGUGUCGGUCUACGGCGCGCGGUGGAGCCCGUUUGUACUUUAACACGUUCGUCGUGUGGGUGCUGGCGGACCCGUGCGUUCCGGCCGACUCGCUCGACGGUAUAAGUAAAGGUUUAAGGCCGCUCAUUGGAGCGUUCGACUCGCGGCAAGCGCGCCAGAUGCGUCGGCGAUCGGACCUAGUGCCGAUUCUGACCUCCGGUGACUGUUGGCCGUCGAAUGUCUCGAACAGACCUUCGAACCGAUCUGCGACGCUAUAGCUUUGGGUACUUUCAGGACCCGUCUUGAAACACGGACCAAGGAGUCUAGCAUGCGCGCGAGUCAUUGGGAAUCUCUAAACCUAAAGGCGCAAUGAAAGUAAAGGUCUCCCCUCUCUCGCAAGAGAUGGGGGGGGACUCAGGGAAGACGGGCGGUUUUACCCUUAAAAGUGGCCGCUCCGCAUUCCCGGGGCGUCUCGUUCUCAUUGCGAGAAGAGGCGCACCAUGAGCGUGCACGCUGGGACCCGAAAGAUGGUG
This 985-nucleotide ribosomal RNA is filed under the name Mononychus punctumalbum. RNAcentral's name for it is "eukaryotic LSU rRNA". It matches the Rfam family "Eukaryotic large subunit ribosomal RNA", at positions 144 to 828 of the family's 3401-position model. The record is from RNAcentral. Lineage: Eukaryota; Metazoa; Arthropoda; Insecta; Coleoptera; Curculionidae.